AUGAAACGGAACGCGAUGGACGUGGUACUUGACGAAUCCCAGAGAUGGCGGAAUACGAACUUGGCACCCACGGUCUUGACGUCAACAGUGCCAGGCAGCAGAGAGAACGCACAACAGGGCACGAUAGCCACAGGUCAUCCAAAGGAGACAGAGACCAUGGCGCCAAGGAUGAGCGACGCGAAGCAGAGGCAGAUGCGGGCGAGCGGGAUGCUUGCAUGCAGGGAAGCCGCGACGCGGGAAGAUUGCCAAGAGGAUGACGUGGUGAGGCACUCCGGCGACGAGGCUCGCGGCAAGGAAGAAGGGGCCAGCUCCCGGUGGUGGUCAGAUGGGUUCCUGCCGGCAGAGGACCGGGAACCAGCAAGCAGGGGAGGCAGGGUUGGCACCUGA
RNAcentral lists this ribosomal RNA (387 nucleotides) under Triticum aestivum (bread wheat). RNAcentral's name for it is "partial small subunit ribosomal RNA". The record is from RNAcentral. Lineage: Eukaryota; Viridiplantae; Streptophyta; Magnoliopsida; Poales; Poaceae.